UAAAGCGAUUCAGCGGGUUACGAUUGACGGAGCGAAGCGACGUCAAAGCGUAUACAAAGUCGAGUCGGUUUAAGGAUACGUUCGUUGGGUAGGGGAGCGUUCUGUAAGCCCGUGAAGGUGGCCUGUGAGGGUUGCUGGAGGUAUCAGAAGUGCGAAUGCUGACAUAAGUAACGAUAAAGCGGGUGAAAAGCCCGCUCGCCGGAAGACCAAGGGUUCCUGUCCAACGUUAAUCGGGGCAGGGUGAGUCGACCCCUAAGGCGAGGCCGAAAGGCGUAGUCGAUGGGAAACGGGUUAAUAUUCCCGUACUUGGUGUUACUGCGAAGGGGGGACGGAGAAGGCUAUGUUGGCCGGGCGACGGUUGUCCCGGUUUAAGCGUGUAGGUGUGUGUUCCAGGUAAAUCCGGUUCACUUUAACACUGAGGCGUGACGACGAGGCACUACGGUGCUGAAGCAACAAAUGCCCUGCUUCCAGGAAAAGCCUCUAAGCAUCAGGUAACACGAAAUCGUACCCCAAACCGACACAGGUGGUCAGGUAGAGAAUACCAAGGCGCUUGAGAGAACUCGGGUGAAGGAACUAGGCAAAAUGGUGCCGUAACUUCGGGAGAAGGCACGCUGACACGUAGGUGAAGUGAUUUACUCAUGGAGCUGAAGUCAGUCGAAGAUACCAGCUGGCUGCAACUGUUUAUUAAAAACACAGCACUGUGCAAACACGAAAGUGGACGUAUACGGUGUGACGCCUGCCCGGUGCCGGAAGGUUAAUUGAUGGGGUCAGCGCAAGCGAAGCUCCUGAUCGAAGCCCCGGUAAACGGCGGCCGUAACUAUAACGGUCCUAAGGUAGCGAAAUUCCUUGUCGGGUAAGUUCCGACCUGCACGAAUGGCGUAAUGAUGGCCAGGCUGUCUCCACCCGAGACUCAGUGAAAUUGAACUCGCUGUGAAGAUGCAGUGUACCCGCGGCAAGACGGAAAGACCCCGUGAACCUUUACUAUAGCUUGACACUGAACAUUGAGCCUUGAUGUGUAGGAUAGGUGGGAGGCUUUGAAGUGUGGACGCCAGUCUGCAUGGAGCCGACCUUGAAAUACCACCCUUUAAUGUUUGAUGUUCUAACGUGGACCCGUAAUCCGGGUUGCGGACAGUGUCUGGUGGGUAGUUUGACUGGGGCGGUCUCCUCCUAAAGAGUAACGGAGGAGCACGAAGGUUGGCUAAUCCUGGUCGGACAUCAGGAGGUUAGUGCAAUGGCAUAAGCCAGCUUGACUGCGAGCGUGACGGCGCGAGCAGGUGCGAAAGCAGGUCAUAGUGAUCCGGUGGUUCUGAAUGGAAGGGCCAUCGCUCAACGGAUAAAAGGUACUCCGGGGAUAACAGGCUGAUACCGCCCAAGAGUUCAUAUCGACGGCGGUGUUUGGCACCUCGAUGUCGGCUCAUCACAUCCUGGGGCUGAAGUAGGUCCCAAGGGUAUGGCUGUUCGCCAUUUAAAGUGGUACGCGAGCUGGGUUUAGAACGUCGUGAGACAGUUCGGUCCCUAUCUGCCGUGGGCGCUGGAGAACUGAGGGGGGCUGCUCCUAGUACGAGAGGACCGGAGUGGACGCAUCACUGGUGUUCGGGUUGUCAUGCCAAUGGCACUGCCCGGUAGCUAAAUGCGGAAGAGAUAAGUGCUGAAAGCAUCUAAGCACGAAACUUGCCCCGA
Molecule: ribosomal RNA, 1680 nt
Filed under: Salmonella enterica subsp. enterica
Lineage: Bacteria; Pseudomonadati; Pseudomonadota; Gammaproteobacteria; Enterobacterales; Enterobacteriaceae
Description: partial 23S ribosomal RNA
Rfam family: Bacterial large subunit ribosomal RNA
Source: RNAcentral